ACGGGAGGCAGCAGUCGGGAAUUUUGCGCAAUGGAGGAAACUCUGACGCAGUGACGCCGCGUGCAGGAUGAAGGUUUUCGGAUUGUAAACUGCUUUAGACAGGGAAGAAAAAAGACAGUAUCUGUAGAAUAAGCUCCGGCUAACUACGUGCCAGCAGCCGCGGUAAUACGUAGGGAGCAAGCGUUAUCCGGAUUUAUUGGGUGUAAAGGGUGCGUAGACGGGAAAAUAAGUUAGCUGUGAAAUCCCUCGGCUCAACCGAGGAACUGCAACUAAAACUGUUUUUCUUGAGUACUGGAGAGGAAAGUGGAACUCCUAGUGUAGCGGUGAAAUGCGUAGAUAUUAGGAGGAACAUCAGUGGCGAAGGCGACUUUCUGGACAGAAACUGACGUUGAGGCACGAAAGUGUGGGGAGCAAACAGGAUUAGAUACCCUGGUA
This 435-nucleotide ribosomal RNA is filed under the name uncultured Oscillospiraceae bacterium. RNAcentral's name for it is "bacterial SSU rRNA". It matches the Rfam family "Bacterial small subunit ribosomal RNA", at positions 341 to 792 of the family's 1533-position model. Lineage: Bacteria; Bacillati; Bacillota; Clostridia; Eubacteriales; Oscillospiraceae. The record is from RNAcentral.